CGGCUGGAUCACCUCCUUUCU
RNAcentral lists this non-coding RNA (21 nucleotides) under Xenopus tropicalis (tropical clawed frog). Lineage: Eukaryota; Metazoa; Chordata; Amphibia; Anura; Pipidae. The record is from RNAcentral. RNAcentral also lists the same sequence under 4 other names.